AAUAGAUACCCUGGUAGUCCACGCCCUAAACGAUGUCAACUAGUUGUCGGGUCUUAACGGGCGUUGGUAACGCAGCUAACGCGUGAAGUUGACCGCCUGGGGAGUACGGUCGCAAGAUUAAAACUCAAAGGAAUUGACGGGGACCCGCACAAGCGGUGGAUUAUGUGGAUUAAUUCGAUGCAACGCGAAAAACCUUACCUACCCUUGACAUGUACCGAAGCCCGCUGAGAGGUGGGUGUGCCCGAAAGGGAGCGGUAACACAGGUGCUGCAUGGCUGUCGUCAGCUCGUGUCGUGAGAUGUUGGGUUAAGUCCCGCAACGAGCGCAACCCUUGUCAUUAAUUGCCAUCAUUCAGUUGGGCACUUUAAUGAAACUGCCGGUGACAAACCGGAGGAAGGUGGGGAUGACGUCAAGUCCUCAUGGCCCUUAUGGGUAGGGCUUCACACGUAAUACAAUGGCGCGUACAGAGGGUUGCCAACCCGCGAGGGGGAGCUAAUCUCAGAAAGCGCGUCGUAGUCCGGAUCGGAGUCUGCAACUCGACUCCA
RNAcentral lists this ribosomal RNA (544 nucleotides) under uncultured bacterium. RNAcentral's name for it is "bacterial SSU rRNA". It matches the Rfam family "Bacterial small subunit ribosomal RNA", at positions 777 to 1320 of the family's 1533-position model. The record is from RNAcentral.